CGUCUCGUAGCUCAGCGGUAGAGCGGACGGCUGAUAACCGUCAGGCCGGAAGUUCGAUUCUUCCCGGGACGACCA
Molecule: transfer RNA, 75 nt
Filed under: Defluviimonas salinarum
Lineage: Bacteria; Pseudomonadati; Pseudomonadota; Alphaproteobacteria; Rhodobacterales; Paracoccaceae
Description: tRNA-Ile
Rfam family: tRNA
About the family: Transfer RNA (tRNA) molecules are approximately 80 nucleotides in length. Their secondary structure includes four short double-helical elements and three loops (D, anti-codon, and T loops).
Source: RNAcentral